This 306-nucleotide unclassified non-coding RNA is filed under the name plant metagenome. RNAcentral describes it as "partial contains 5.8S ribosomal RNA, internal transcribed spacer 2, and large subunit ribosomal RNA". The stretch from base 1 to 105 matches the Rfam family "5.8S ribosomal RNA", at positions 50 to 154 of the family's 154-position model. The record is from RNAcentral.
GAAAUGCGAUAAGUAAUGUGAAUUGCAGAAUUCAGUGAAUCAUCGAAUCUUUGAACGCACAUUGCGCCCUUUGGCAUUCCGAAGGGCAUGCCUGUUCGAGCGCCGUUACACCAAUCAAGCCUGGCUUGGUAUUGGGCGACGGGGUCGGUCGAACCACCCCCCGCCCCAAAGGCCUUUCCGGCGGGACGGACCGAAUCUCAGCGUUGUGCAAACGUGUCGCUGGCGAGACGGGACGGCCGUGCCGUUAAACCCCAUUUUCUUCAAGGUUGACCUCGGAUCAGGUAGGGAUACCCGCUGAACUUAAGC